CGCAGUAUUAGGGUGGGAGUGACCUGAUUUUCCAGGUACCGUCUCUCACGGCUUCCCUUGGCUAGGAAAGGGAAUUCCCUGAUCCCUUGCACUUCCUGGGUGAGGCGAUGCCUCGCCCUGCUUUGGCUCAUGCUCCAUGGGCUGCAGCCACUGUCCUGCACCCACUGUCAGACAAGCCCCAGUGAGAUGAACCCUGUACCUCAGUUGGAAAUGCAGAAAUCACCCGUCUUUUGUGUCGCUCACGGUGGGUGCUGUAGACUGGAGCUGUUCCUAUUCGGCCAUCAUAGAACCUCCUCCUAAUCAUGCCUAGUCAAUGUAAAGACAAUGAGGAUGAAGACCUUUAUGAAGAUGACUUCCACUUAAUGAAUAGGUUUUUGGAGCUACUGCAUGAUGAACAAGAACACAUCUGUGUGCUGGAAGGGUGGUGCAUUCCAAACUCCACAAGGACAGAAGCUUCUGUGCUCAGGACCCUUCCAGACCUUGCCCUAUGUACCCCUUCAUCUGGCUGUGCAUCUGUAUCCUUUAAUAUAUCCUCUGCAAUAAAU
RNAcentral lists this long non-coding RNA (545 nucleotides) under Homo sapiens (human). Its description in RNAcentral is "HSALNT0182877". The record is from RNAcentral. Lineage: Eukaryota; Metazoa; Chordata; Mammalia; Primates; Hominidae.